Scylla paramamosain (green mud crab) is the source of this 1350-nucleotide long non-coding RNA. RefSeq lists it as uncharacterized. The transcript is spliced from 2 exons. The record is from RefSeq and is a predicted model, not a curated record. NCBI's taxonomy places the organism in Eukaryota, Metazoa, Arthropoda, Malacostraca, Decapoda, Portunidae.
ACAGGAGGUCAGGAAGAGUUGAGUCGCGCGCAACCCUCCUCCUCCUCCUCCUCCUCCUCCUCCUCCUCCUCCUCCUCCUCCUCCUCCUCCACUACUACCACCUCCUCCUCCUCCUCCUCCUCCUCCUCCUCCUCCUCCUCCUCCUCCUCCUCCUCCUCCUCCCUCACUCUCACUUACUCCACUCACUCGCUCGCUCGCUGGCGCUUCCUUGCUCGCUCUCACCGGCUCCUAGUGACGGAGAAAGAAAAGAAAGAAAACGAAAAAAAAGUAAAUUGUAAGAGAUAAGAGGACAUAGACAAAUUGGAAGGCGUAGGUAGAUGAGAUAAUAAAUAAACAGAAAAGUCAAAGAAAAGAUCAACAAAGUGGAAGACACAGAAAGAACAAAAGAUCUUAAACAAAACAGCAAAGACGUAAGAAAUAUAAAUACAUUGGAGGACAUAGGUAAUAAGGUAAUAAACAAACUGCAAGACACAAGAAGAAAAGGUAAAAGAAACAGGAAAGACACAGAAAAUAUAAAAUAUAUCGCAAAAAAAAAAAAAAAAAAAAAAAAACACAAAGAAAUAUUAACCCGCAGAAAACGUAAACAGACAAAAAUAAACAAAACUACACAUUAAAAAAAUAAAUAAAUAAAUAAACUGUAAAUAAAAUAGAAAAAAAAUUAACUACUUACCAAGAAUAUAAGGAAAUACCACCAACACCACCACCACCACCAUCAUCAUCAUCAGUUAAGUCGCGGUGAAACAAACAAAAGAGGUUCCCGUUACCGUCCUGCGGCACACCACCACCACCGCCACCGCCACCACCACCGCUGCCACAACCCAGCGCAAAGGAACACAAAGGAAGAACGAGAAACAUCACCUGACUUGUUGGCUUCCCCUUAAGAGACAAUACAGUGUUGUAAUACGAGAGGCUUUGAGAGAGAGAUAGAGAGAGAGGAGGACAGUCUUAAUCUUUGCUUUAGAGAAUAUUAUCUUGAUUCCUGUCUGUUUUUCUGUCUCUAUCUUUGUCUAUUCCCUUUCUCCCUCUCUUUGGUGAUCUAAGUUCUUAAUUUUCUCUUUUUUCAAUCCUCCUCCUCCUCUUCUUUCUCCUUCCUCUUUCUCCUCUCUCUUUCUCUUUCUCUUCCUCUUCAUCCUUUUCGUUCACGUUCUCUUCUUAUUCUAUUUCUUCUGGUUCCUGUAUUUUCUUGCUCUUUAUUCCUCCUGCUCCUCCUCCUCUUCAAAGUAUCUCUUCCUCUCCAUCUUCCAGCCUUUCAGCGAGGCAAAGAAACUCUCUCUCUCUCUCUCUCUCUCUCUCUCUCUCUCUCUCUCUCUCUCUCUCUCUCUCUCUCUCUCUCUCUCUCUCUCUCUCUCU